Brachypodium distachyon (stiff brome) is the source of this 125-nucleotide non-coding RNA. The record is from Rfam. NCBI's taxonomy places the organism in Eukaryota, Viridiplantae, Streptophyta, Magnoliopsida, Poales, Poaceae.
UAAGUACUCCCUCCGUCUCAUAUUAAGUGACUUUUUAUUACAUGUAUCUAGACGUUUUUUAGCCGUAGAUACAUCCAUAUUUAGACAAAUUUGAGUCACUUAAUAUGGGACGGAGGGAGUACAAC